AGCACCGGCUAAUUACUGCAUUUAUUAAAAUUGUAGAGGAAAGUCCGCGCUAGCACAACCUGAGAUGGUUGUAGUGUUCGUGUUAUCCCUAAUAAGGAUAAGCUUAGACGUCAGGUAAAAAACUAUUUAUAGUUAUAACCUAAAGUGCCACAGAGACGAGAAGGGGCGACCUGGAAAUGAAACGCGGUAAACACCACGAGCUAGAAACCCAAAUUAUGGUAGGGGAACCAAAAGAGAAGAAUUUAAUUCAAUUUUGGAAUCGUAAGAUUAGAUAAAUUAUUAGCGCCAGCAAUGGUACAAAACGCGGCUUAUAAGU
This 316-nucleotide RNase P RNA is filed under the name Mycoplasma sp. RNAcentral's name for it is "RNase P RNA component class B". It matches the Rfam family "Bacterial RNase P class B". Rfam says of the family: Ribonuclease P (RNase P) is a ubiquitous endoribonuclease, found in archaea, bacteria and eukarya as well as chloroplasts and mitochondria. Its best characterised activity is the generation of mature 5'-ends of tRNAs by cleaving the 5'-leader elements of precursor-tRNAs. Cellular RNase Ps are ribonucleoproteins. Lineage: Bacteria; Bacillati; Mycoplasmatota; Mollicutes; Mycoplasmatales; Mycoplasmataceae. The record is from RNAcentral.